UCUCAGGUAUAACACCCAAAAAAAAUGACAGCAUAUGUCUACACACAAACUUGUACACAAAUGUUAAUAGAAGCAGAUUCAUACAAGCCCCAAAGUGGAAAAGACCCGAAUGUCCAUCAACAGAGGACUGUAUUAAUAAAUGUGGUAUAUACAUAUAAUAGAAUAU
Non-coding RNA from Ceratotherium simum simum (southern white rhinoceros), 166 nucleotides. Lineage: Eukaryota; Metazoa; Chordata; Mammalia; Perissodactyla; Rhinocerotidae. The record is from RefSeq and is a predicted model, not a curated record.